RNAcentral lists this signal recognition particle RNA (316 nucleotides) under Methanobacterium congolense. RNAcentral describes it as "Archaeal signal recognition particle RNA". It matches the Rfam family "Archaeal signal recognition particle RNA". Lineage: Archaea; Methanobacteriati; Methanobacteriota; Methanobacteria; Methanobacteriales; Methanobacteriaceae. The record is from Rfam by way of RNAcentral.
AAAUGGGCUAGACUGGAGGGUUAGGGGUCCUCUGUAAGCGCAUAUCCCCUAUACGGCGCGGUUGAAGUUCAAGAGGCGGCAGGUUAACUGGGAAUUGGCCCAGGAUUUCGAUGUCGAAACCUCGUCCCGCAGGAUUAGUGGUGGAAGGGCUUCGGCUGUAGGGCCGGGGUUAACUACCUUAACCACAGGAACGGAUCAGGUCUGGAAAGAAGCAGUUCUACUGUGGACAGCUGAUGCUUGUGGAGCAACGGGGUGGAGUCGGGUUUCUGGAUCACCAGUUUUCAGGAGGCCUGUCCACUCUUGAACACGCCCACUU